Molecule: unclassified non-coding RNA, 580 nt
Filed under: Malbranchea thaxteri
Lineage: Eukaryota; Fungi; Ascomycota; Eurotiomycetes; Onygenales; Malbrancheaceae
Description: Auxarthron thaxteri sequence contains 18S rRNA gene, ITS1, 5.8S rRNA gene, ITS2, 28S rRNA gene
Rfam family: 5.8S ribosomal RNA (bases 224-377)
Source: RNAcentral
UCGUAACAAGGUUUCCGUAGGUGAACCUGCGGAAGGAUCAUUAAAGUGUUAAGCCUGCGCGCCCCGGCGCGCGGGCGAAACUCCACCCUUGACUACUAUACCACAUGUUGCUUUGGCGGGCCCGUCCUUGUGGCCGCCGGGGGCUUGCCCCUGGCCCGCGCCCGCCGGAGAAAAUACUGAACCCUUGUGAAAUUGGACGUCUGAGUUGAUGAUCAAUCAUUAAAACUUUCAACAAUGGAUCUCUUGGUUCCGGCAUCGAUGAAGAACGCAGCGAAAUGCGAUAAGUAAUGUGAAUUGCAGAAUUCCGUGAAUCAUCGAAUCUUUGAACGCACAUUGCGCCCCCUGGUAUUCCGGGGGGCAUGCCUGUCCGAGCGUCAUUGCAACCUUCAAGCGCGGCUUGUGUGUUGGGCCUCGUCCCCCGUGGACGUGCCCGAAAGGCAGUGGCGGCGUCCGUUUUGGUGCCCGAGCGUAUGGGAACUCUUAUACCGCUCUUCAGGCCCGGCGGCGCUGGUCGAACCCCCAAUUUUUUACCGGUUGACCUCGGAUCAGGUAGGGAUACCCGCUGAACCUAAGCAUAUCA